ACUUUUCCGCAAUGGUGAAGAGCCUGACGGAGCAAUAAAGCACUUUAAAGAAGGAGGAAGGGUCGUGAACUUAUUUUCCCGGGGAAGAAGCAUUCACGCUGUAUAAGGAAUAAGCAUCGGCUAACUCAGCACCAGCAGUAACGGUAAGGCAGCGGAUGCUAAUGGUAUCUGGAAGGAUUAGGGGGAAAGUGUGUGUAGGUGGCUUUUUAAGUCCAAAGUCAAAUCCCAGGGCUCAACCCUGGACAGGCGGUGGAAACUACCAAAGUGGAGUAGAGUAGGGGCAGAGGGAAUUUCCGGUGGAGAAAUGAAAUGAGUAGAGAUGGGAAAGCACACCAGCGGGGAAACCACUGUGCUGGGCCGACAAUGACAGUGAGAAACGAAAGGGAGGGAACAGAAUUAGAUUAGAUACCCCUGCAGUCCUAGCCGUA
This 428-nucleotide ribosomal RNA is filed under the name uncultured marine bacterium. RNAcentral describes it as "bacterial SSU rRNA". It matches the Rfam family "Bacterial small subunit ribosomal RNA", at positions 360 to 804 of the family's 1533-position model. The record is from RNAcentral.